AGUGGCGAACGGGUGAGUAACACGUGACCAACCUGCCUCUUACAUUGGGACAACCAAAAGAAAUUCUUGCUAAUACCAAAUACUCCGCACAUAUCACAUGAUGUAUGCGGGAAAGCUUUUGCGGUAAGAGAUGGGGUCGCGGCCCAUUAGGUAGACGGCGGGGUAGAAGCCCACCGUGCCGAUGAUGGGUAGCCGGGUUGAGAGACCGACCGGCCACAUUGGGACUGAGAUACGGCCCAGACUCCUACGGGAGGCAGCAGAC
Molecule: ribosomal RNA, 262 nt
Filed under: uncultured Cryptobacterium sp.
Lineage: Bacteria; Bacillati; Actinomycetota; Coriobacteriia; Eggerthellales; Eggerthellaceae
Description: partial 16S ribosomal RNA
Rfam family: Bacterial small subunit ribosomal RNA
Source: RNAcentral